GACGAACGCUGGCGGCGUGCCUAAUACAUGCAAGUCGAGCGAAGAUUUUCUGGUGCUUGCACUAGAACAACUUAGCGGCGAACGGGUGAGUAACACGUAACGAACCUGCCUCAUAGACUGGGACAACUAUUGGAAACGAUAGCUAAUACCGGAUAACAGUAUUUCUCGCAUGGGAGAUAUUUAAAAGUUGGUUAUGCUAACACUAUGAGAUGGCUUUGCGGUGCAUUAGCUAGUUGGUGGGGUAAAGGCCCACCAAGGCGACGAUGCAUAGCCGACCUGAGAGGGUGAUCGGCCACACUGGGACUGAGACACGGCCCAGACUCCUACGGGAGGCAGCAGUAGGGAAUCUUCCGCAAUGGGCGAAAGCCUGACGGAGCAACGCCGCGUGAGUGAAGAAGGAUUUCGGUUCGUAAAGCUCUGUUGUUAGGGAAGAAUGGAUAUGUAGUAACUAUACAUGUAAGAGACGGUACCUAACCAGAAAGCCACGGCUAACUACGUG
This 499-nucleotide ribosomal RNA is filed under the name uncultured bacterium. RNAcentral describes it as "partial 16S ribosomal RNA". It matches the Rfam family "Bacterial small subunit ribosomal RNA", at positions 28 to 507 of the family's 1533-position model. The record is from RNAcentral.